RNAcentral lists this long non-coding RNA (690 nucleotides) under Macaca mulatta (Rhesus monkey). Its description in RNAcentral is "lncRNA (ENSMMUG00000052155.1)". Lineage: Eukaryota; Metazoa; Chordata; Mammalia; Primates; Cercopithecidae. The record is from RNAcentral.
CCUGUACACCAGACUCCACCUCAUUAGGUCCUGUCUGCGCACAUUUUAACCACAUCUCUCUCUCCUCUUCUCUUGCUUGCAUCUCUUUUGCUUUAUUGAUUCCCACCACUGUGGGAGCGUACCAUUAUCUCUUGACUUCAGUUAAUUUCCCAGCCCCAGUGGCAUUCUUAUUCCUCCUGAUGACAGUGAAGAGUCAUGCAGCUUACCUACAAGUGCCACAAAACCUGGAUCUGUCCUGCUUCACUGUAAGAAUGCAGUUGUGCAAGCAGAUCUCCUGGGAGCUCACAAAAAGCUGUGCUUCUAGGAUUCAGAAUUAGCACUGGAACUGCACACUCAGCCCCUGACCAGGCAUCUCCAUUCAGAGCAAGACAUCAGAGAAUCCGGCUGCAGCCAGGGCCAGCUCAGAAGACCAGGAUUCCACAGGCCUGUGUUUGGCAGGGCCCUCAGGGCCGGCAGAGUGCUUAGCAAGGAGCCAGGAGGACAUGGCACUUCAGCUGGGCAACGGCAGGACAGACGCUGUGCCUUAUGGUGGGGGAUACAGUGGGGGAGCAGCCAGUCAGAGCCAGCCCCUGGGGAAGCCAGAGCAGGAGCUGAGGGCAGCAGCUGUGCCUACUGCCUCCCCACCCUGGGGCUGAACAACGAGGCUUCCCUCCCCUCUGCUCAGCACUUCCUGGGAGAACCAGGCAUGGG